Long non-coding RNA from Trichechus manatus latirostris (Florida manatee), 216 nucleotides. RefSeq lists it as uncharacterized. Lineage: Eukaryota; Metazoa; Chordata; Mammalia; Sirenia; Trichechidae. The transcript has 3 exons. The record is from RefSeq and is a predicted model, not a curated record.
CUGAACCAGUUGUGUGUGGGAUACCUGCAACAACCAUGUUUGGCAAGAAAAUACCUGAUUCUAUUGGAGACAAAGUACAAUGAUCUUCAUGAAUAGCGUCAUGAUCCCCAUCUAGUUGCAGCCCUUUCAGGUCCUGGGAAAACUUGGAGAAGAAAAGUCUAAUGUGGAAAGCAGUAUCUUCAGACUAUUCUCUUCCAGCUGGCAAGGAACUAAAGG